This 586-nucleotide ribosomal RNA is filed under the name uncultured bacterium. Its description in RNAcentral is "bacterial SSU rRNA". It matches the Rfam family "Bacterial small subunit ribosomal RNA", at positions 338 to 944 of the family's 1533-position model. The record is from RNAcentral.
CCUACGGGAGGCAGCAGUGAGGAAUUUUCCGCAAUGGGCGAAAGCCUGACGGAGCAAUACCGCGUGAGGGAUGAAGGAUUUUGGUCUGUAAACCUCUUUUCUCAAGAAAGAAGUUCUGACGGUACUUGAGGAAUAAGCAUCGGCUAACUCCGUGCCAGCAGCCGCGGUAAUACGGGGGAUGCAAGCGUUAUCCGGAAUGAUUGGGCGUAAAGCGCCUGUAGGUUGUUUAUUAAGUCCGUUGUUAAAGCCUAGGGCUUAACCCUAGAAAAGCAAUGGAAACUAGUAGACUAGAGUAUGGCAGGGGUAGAGGGAAUUUCUAGUGUAGCGGUGAAAUGCGUAGAUAUUAGAAAGAACACCGGUGGCGAAAGCGCUCUACUGGACCAUUACUGACACUCAGAGGCGAAAGCUAGGGUAGCAAAAGGGAUUAGAUACCCCUGUAGUCCUAGCCGUAAACGAUGGAUACUAGAUGUUGUGCAUUAUGUACAGUAUCGUAGCUAACGCGUUAAGUAUCCCGCCUGGGGAGUACGCUCGCAAGGGUGAACUUAAGGAAUUGACGGCUGAGACNGCGACGCGACGACGAGGAGAG